GACGAACGCUGGCGGCGUGCCUAAUGCAUGCAAGUCGAGCGGGCUACGAUCUUCGGAUUGUAGCUUAGCGGCGGACGGGUGAGUAACACGUGGGCAACCUGCCUCAUAGAGGGGAAUAGCCUUCCGAAAGGAAGAUUAAUACCGCAUAAGAUUGUAGCUUCGCAUGAAGUAGCAAUUAAAGGAGCAAUCCGCUAUGAGAUGGGCCCGCGGCGCAUUAGCUAGUUGGUGAGGUAACGGCUCACCAAGGCGACGAUGCGUAGCCGACCUGAGAGGGUGAUCGGCCACAUUGGGACUGAGACACGGCCCAGACUCCUACGGGAGGCAGCAGUGGGGAAUAUUGCACAAUGGGGGAAACCCUGAUGCAGCAACGCCGCGUGAGUGAUGACGGCCUUCGGGUUGUAAAGCUCUGUCUUCAGGGACGAUAAUGACGGUACCUGAGGAGGAAGCCACGGCUAACUACGUG
This 463-nucleotide ribosomal RNA is filed under the name uncultured bacterium. Its description in RNAcentral is "bacterial SSU rRNA". It matches the Rfam family "Bacterial small subunit ribosomal RNA", at positions 28 to 507 of the family's 1533-position model. The record is from RNAcentral.